Molecule: ribosomal RNA, 536 nt
Filed under: fungal sp. SNB-LAP1-7-26
Lineage: Eukaryota; Fungi
Description: eukaryotic LSU rRNA
Source: RNAcentral
UACACCCUUUGUGACAUACCUACAACUGUUGCUUCGGCGGGUAGGGUCCCCGUGACCCUCCCGGCCUCCCGCCCCCCCGGGCGGGUCGGCGCCCGCCGGAGGAUAACCAAACUCUGAUUUAACGACGUUUCUUCUGAGUGGUACAAGCAAAUAAUCAAAACUUUUAACAACGGAUCUCUUGGUUCUGGCAUCGAUGAAGAACGCAGCGAAAUGCGAUAAGUAAUGUGAAUUGCAGAAUUCAGUGAAUCAUCGAAUCUUUGAACGCACAUUGCGCCCGCCAGCAUUCUGGCGGGCAUGCCUGUUCGAGCGUCAUUUCAACCCUCAAGCUCUGCUUGGUGUUGGGGCCCUACAGCUGAUGUAGGCCCUCAAAGGUAGUGGCGGACCCUCCCGGAGCCUCCUUUGCGUAGUAACUUUACGUCUCGCACUGGGAUCCGGAGGGACUCUUGCCGUAAAACCCCCCAAUUUUCCAAAGGUUGACCUCGGAUCAGGUAGGAAUACCCGCUGAACUUAAGCAUAUCAAAARGSCGGGAAGGAAA